GUAGGUGGCAAGCGUUGUCCGGAAUUAUUGGGCGUAAAGCGCGCGCAGGCGGUUCUUUAAGUCUGAUGUGAAAGCCCACGGCUCAACUGUGGAGGGUCAUUGGAAACUGGAGAACUUGAGUACAGAAGAGGAAAGCGGAAUUCCACGUGUAGCGGUGAAAUGCGUAGAGAUGUGGAGGAACACCAGUGGCGAAGGCGGCUUUCUGGUCUGUAACUGACGCUGAGGCGCGAAAGCGUGGGGGAGCAAACAGGAUUAGAUACCCUGGUAGUCCACGCCGUAAACGAUGAGUGCUAAGUGUUAGGGGGUUUCCGCCCCUUAGUGCCGCAGCUAACGCAUUAAGCACUCCGCCUGGGAGUACGGCCGCAAGGCUG
Molecule: ribosomal RNA, 371 nt
Filed under: uncultured organism
Description: partial 16S ribosomal RNA
Rfam family: Bacterial small subunit ribosomal RNA
Source: RNAcentral